CCUACGGGAGGCAGCAGUAGGGAAUUUUCGUCAAUGGGGGUAACCCUGACCGAGCAACGCCGCGUGAAGGAAGAAGGAAUUCGUUCUGUAAACUUCUGUUAUAAAGGAAGAAAGACGGAUGGAGGAAAUGACAUCCGAGUGACGGUACUAUAUGAGAAAGCCACGGUUAACUACGUGCAAGCAGCCGCGGUAAUACGUAGGUGGCAAGCGUUAUCGAGAAUUAUUGGGCGAAAAGAGGGAGAGGGCGGCAGCAAAGGUCUGUGGUGAAAGACGGAAGCUUAACUUCAGUAAGCCAUAGAAACUGGGCAGCUAGAGUGCAGGAGAGGAUCGUGGAAUGCGAUGUGUAGCGGUGAAAUGCGUAGAUAUAUGGAGGAACACCAGUGGCGAAGGCGACGAUCUGGCCUGCAACUGACGCUCAGUCCCGAAAGCGUGGGGAGCAAAUAGGAUUAGAUACCCCAGUAGUC
This 464-nucleotide ribosomal RNA is filed under the name uncultured bacterium. RNAcentral's name for it is "partial 16S ribosomal RNA". It matches the Rfam family "Bacterial small subunit ribosomal RNA", at positions 338 to 795 of the family's 1533-position model. The record is from RNAcentral.